UACGUAGGUGGCAAGCGUUGUCCGGAUUUACUGGGCGUAAAGAGCGCGCAGGCGGUCGUUCAAGUCGCGUGUGAAAGCCCCCGGCUCAACUGGGGAGGGUCACGCGAUACUGAUCGACUCGAAGGCAGGAGAGGGUAGUGGAAUUCCCGGUGUAGUGGUGAAAUGCGUAGAUAUCAGGAGGAACACCGGUGGCGAAGGCGGAUCUCUGGGCCUUGCCUGACGCUGAGGCGCGAAAGCUAGGGGAGCGAACAGG
This 253-nucleotide ribosomal RNA is filed under the name uncultured bacterium. RNAcentral's name for it is "partial 16S ribosomal RNA". It matches the Rfam family "Bacterial small subunit ribosomal RNA", at positions 524 to 776 of the family's 1533-position model. The record is from RNAcentral.